RNAcentral lists this ribosomal RNA (258 nucleotides) under uncultured bacterium. Its description in RNAcentral is "partial small subunit ribosomal RNA". It matches the Rfam family "Bacterial small subunit ribosomal RNA", at positions 26 to 285 of the family's 1533-position model. The record is from RNAcentral.
AGGACGAACGCUGGCGGCGUGCUUAACACAUGCAAGUCGAGCGGAAAGGCCCUUUCGGGGGUACUCGAGCGGCGAACGGGUGAGUAACACGUGAGUAACCUGCCCUUGGCUUUGGGAUAACCCUCGGAAACGGGGGCUAAUACCGAAUAUUCACUGCUCCUCGCAUGGGGGGUGGUGGAAAGAUUUUUUGGCUGGGGAUGGGCUCGCGGCCUAUCAGCUUGUUGGUGGGGUGAUGGCCUACCAAGGCGACGACGGGUA